Kogia breviceps (pygmy sperm whale) is the source of this 550-nucleotide non-coding RNA. Lineage: Eukaryota; Metazoa; Chordata; Mammalia; Artiodactyla; Physeteridae. The record is from RefSeq and is a predicted model, not a curated record.
AGGGGCGGCAGGCGCCAUGUCGGGCCGCGAAGGUGGCAAGAAGAAGCCCCUGAAGCAGCCCAAGAAGCAAGCCAAGGAGAUGGACGAGAUAAGGCAUUCAAGCAGAAACAGAAGGAGGAGCAAAAGAAACUCGAGGAGCUAAAAGCGAAGGCCGCGGGGAAAGGCCCCCUGGGUAAGUGAGGGCGGGGUAGAGCUCAAGCCGGACAAACGCCUGAGCAUCAGUCUGGAUACGGGCCCGAGCAUGUCCGUGUCCUGCCUCGUUGGUGAGUUGCGAGGUCUCUGUUGCUGGUGUCCGCUGCAGUGGACGGCCCCAGCCAGGCUUGGUUUUGCAGCAGCGGGAGAGGGGGCGGGAGCCAGACCCAGUAUGGGCUUCUCUUGCUUAGGGAAGUGGCAGAAAUGGAAAUACAGGAAUUUAUAUAUCUCAGACACAAGUUCGUACAGUUGAGUUUCCAGAUAUCCUCUACAGUUUCUUGCUCCAAAUUCGUAUUUCACUGCUUCUUUGUUGCUUGUAACAUUUCUUAAUUUACUAAUCGUAUUGUUAAAACUCUAG